ACAUAACUGAUGCCUCCGCGUAUCGACUUUGUGCGCAUUUUAGCUAUUAUGUGUUCUUUUAAUUAAAAUGAUUCUUUUUAAGAUUCAUCUAUUAAAAAUUUGCUUCGGCAUAAUUUUUUUUGAUGAUCCUGUUACUUUGAGUAAAUUAGAGUGUUCAAAGCAAACAGAUAUAGCAUUUGUGCGUUUGAAUACUACAGCAUGGAAUAACAAAAUUGAACAAGUCAGAAUUUUUUUGUUCUUUUUUCUUAUUUUGGCUUAGUUACGAUUAAUAGGAGUAGCUUGGGGGCAUUUGUAUCCAGAUGUCAGAGGUGAAAUUCUUAGAUUUUCUGGAGACAAACAACUGCGAAAGCAUUUGCCUAAAAUACUUCCAUUAAUCAAGAACGAAAGUUAAGGGAGUGAAGACGAUCAGAUACCGUCGUAAUCUUAACCAUAAACUAUGCCGACUAGGCUUUGGAUGAAAGAUUUUAAAAUAAGAGUUUUUCUUUUCUCUCCGGAGAUUAGGACUCUUAGAUUGCUUCCUUCAGUGCCUUAUGAGAAAUCAAAGUCUUUGGGUUCUGGGGCGAGUAUUCGCGCAAGCGAGAAAGUUAAAAGAAUUGACGGAAGGGCACCACCAGGCGUGGAGCUUGCGGCUUAAUUUGACUCAACACGGGAAAACUCACUAGUUUAAGACAAGAGUAGGAUUGACAGAUUAAUAGCUCUUUCUUGAUUUCUUGGAUGGUGAUGCAUGGCCGUUUUUAGUUCGUGAAUAUGAUUUGUCUGGUUAAUUCCGAUAACGAACGAGAUCUUAACCUGCUAAUUAGCGGCAAAUACGAUAUAUUCUUAUGUAGAAUUGAAUAUAGUGGAUUUGUUGGAUUUUGAAGAAAAUAUUGGAAUUACGUUUAAAUGUGAUUCCUUUCCCUUUUCUACUUAAUUUACAUUUCCAUCUAUUUCUUUUUUGCGUGUGAAUGUAUUUGCUUGAUUGUAAAGCUUCUUAGAGGAACGAUGUGUG
Molecule: ribosomal RNA, 988 nt
Filed under: Plasmodium knowlesi
Lineage: Eukaryota; Apicomplexa; Aconoidasida; Haemosporida; Plasmodiidae
Description: SSU rRNA
Rfam family: Eukaryotic small subunit ribosomal RNA
Source: RNAcentral